RNAcentral lists this transfer RNA (86 nucleotides) under Rickettsiaceae bacterium. RNAcentral's name for it is "tRNA-Leu". It matches the Rfam family "tRNA". From Rfam's summary of the family: Transfer RNA (tRNA) molecules are approximately 80 nucleotides in length. Their secondary structure includes four short double-helical elements and three loops (D, anti-codon, and T loops). Lineage: Bacteria; Pseudomonadati; Pseudomonadota; Alphaproteobacteria; Rickettsiales; Rickettsiaceae. The record is from RNAcentral.
GCGGUCGUGGCGAAACGGUAGACGCGCAGCAUUGAGGGUGCUGUUCUUGUAAAAGAGUGGAAGUUCAAAUCUUCUCGACCGCACCA